CUUGACGGAUCCGAGCCACAGUGGCCGGUCCGCCGGGUGCUCCUGGCCGUAUGUGGCGAGCAGCGCCUCCGCCUC
Streptomyces griseofuscus is the source of this 75-nucleotide non-coding RNA. The record is from Rfam. NCBI's taxonomy places the organism in Bacteria, Bacillati, Actinomycetota, Actinomycetes, Kitasatosporales, Streptomycetaceae.